Molecule: long non-coding RNA, 555 nt
Filed under: Cyanistes caeruleus (blue tit)
Lineage: Eukaryota; Metazoa; Chordata; Aves; Passeriformes; Paridae
Description: lncRNA (ENSCCEG00000015302.1)
Source: RNAcentral
GUUAGCUUGCUCCUGGGUGCUCUGUGAACUUGUAGCUCUGCUCAGAGCUGCACUGGCCAGCCAGCCUUGUCAUGCACAACAGUGGAAAAAGAAAUAACCAGUAUGAUCAGGUGCCCUGACUUCCAAAGACUUGCUCCUGAUUCACACUGCUACAGCCAAGAGGAGAAGGACUCCACAUUAUUGUUCCCAGGAAUGAAUCCUGAAGGUCUCUUGAUCUGUGAAGCAGCUACAGGGAAAUUCGUCGUAGAAACAGUCCCAUUACUGCCUUUUGUCCGCAUGACUCAUAUUGAUCCUGUUAACUGCGACUAACGUAUUUCCUAAGAUAUACUUUCUUAGCUUUAGGCCAAAACUCUCUGGUCCUGCCUCCUUCUUAUGCACAAGUUUUCCUCUAAUUCCUAUUGAUGCUACCCUGCCUGGCACAGAGUGAACCAUCUCCCUUCAUUCCCACAAGCAAGUGCCAUGCAGCCCUGUGCAGCAGGUAUCAAGAACCUGCUGGUCACACUGCAGUGAGAAACUCAGUCCAGAGGCCCUCAGCUGAGCAGCAGCCAUAGCACA